This 564-nucleotide long non-coding RNA is filed under the name Musa acuminata (dwarf banana). Its description in RNAcentral is "long non-coding RNA (MACU_LNC008598)". The record is from RNAcentral. Lineage: Eukaryota; Viridiplantae; Streptophyta; Magnoliopsida; Zingiberales; Musaceae.
GCGGUUGACAUCAAGUAUGCCACGUAAGGGAUUUGAAAGCGACAUUUUCUGAAAAUAAAGAUGCAGCAGAAAUGAAUAACAUGUAGAUUUUGCAAGAAAUAAACUAUCAAGAUAUGGACUUCUAUCUUAAUAUGCUCCCACUAUUUUACUAACGAGUCAUGCGACACCCUCAGCACGUGAAACGGAAGUCUCCGGCAGACUUCUAGUGGGGAUCAGAAUCCAAUCAGCGUCUUAGUGUAACCUCGAGGGACUCGACCAAUCACACUAAGCCUAAAAGGUAGGCAACUCUUGCCGAUCACAAAUCCUUGUGAUUCCCGUCCUGUUCGGCCUCUGAAUCACCAUGGCCUCGAGGGACUCGACCAACCAUGAUGCUCGGUUAAGUCAACACCUUCGUUACAAGAUGAGUCUGACUUGAUGAUAUACCCUCGAGGGACUCGACCAAGCAUACCAUGCCCUCAGGUCACCGGUGACAUCUCUAUGUCGUAAGCAAGAUAGCGAAUCGCGAUAUAGGUGAGUCUCGAGGGACUCGACCAACUCAACCUACACCGGGAUUCGGUUCCUACU